AGUCGUAACAAGGUCUCCGUAGGUGAACCUGCGGAGGGAUCAUUACACAAUAACAAGGCGGGCUGGACACCCCCAGCCGGGCACUGCUUCACGGCGUGCGCGGCUGGGCCGGCCCUGCUGAAUUAUUCACCCGUGUCUUUUGCGUACUUCUUGUUUCCUGGGUGGGCUCGCCCGCCAUCAGGACCAACCACAAACCUUUUGCAAUAGCAAUCAGCGUCAGUAACAACGUAAUUAAUUACAACUUUCAACAACGGAUCUCUUGGUUCUGGCAUCGAUGAAGAACGCAGCGAAAUGCGAUACGUAGUGUGAAUUGCAGAAUUCAGUGAAUCAUCGAAUCUUUGAACGCACAUUGCGCCCUUUGGUAUUCCAAAGGGCAUGCCUGUUCGAGCGUCAUUUGUACCCUCAAGCUUUGCUUGGUGUUGGGCGUCUUUUGUCUCCAGUUCGCUGGAGACUCGCCUUAAAGUCAUUGGCAGCCGGCCUACUGGUUUCGGAGCGCAGCACAAGUCGCGCUCUUUGCCAGCCAAGGUCAGCGUCCAGCAAGCCUUUUUUUUCAACCUUUGACCUCGGAUCAGGUAGGGAUACCCGCUGAACUUAAGCAUAUCAAUAA
Molecule: unclassified non-coding RNA, 607 nt
Filed under: Alternaria roseogrisea
Lineage: Eukaryota; Fungi; Ascomycota; Dothideomycetes; Pleosporales; Pleosporaceae
Description: sequence contains 18S rRNA gene, ITS1, 5.8S rRNA gene, ITS2, 28S rRNA gene
Rfam family: 5.8S ribosomal RNA (bases 240-393)
Source: RNAcentral